AUGUUGAUCAAGUUCCUGCAUGGCCUCUCAAAGACACACCGACCCAACGUUAUCUUUCUUUCUGAAACAAGAAAAAAUAAAGAGUAUGUUGAGAGUUUGCGCUACCGCUUGGGUAUGAAAAAUGUGUUUGUUGUUUGUGUGCCAGGAAAAGAUGGUGGUGUAGCAGUUUUUUGGGAUGACCUUUACACUCUGCAGCUGAACAAAUACGAUGAACAUUUUAUUGAUAUGUACAUUUGCAAAGAAGAUGGCAGUAAGUGGAGAAGUACCUUUGUCUAUGGUGAACCAAAGGCGAGCCCAAGGUAUGUGAUGUGGGAACUGUUAAGGCGAAUUAAACCGCUUGGGGCCGGACCAUGGUUUAUGGUUGGUGAUUUUAACGAGGCUAUGUGGCAGAAUGAGCAUUUUUCUCGUAACAAGCGGUCGGACAAACUUAUGGCAAAUUUUCGUGAGGUCUUAUCUGAAUGCAAUUUAUUUGAUUUGGGAUUUUCAGGUGUUCCUUGGACUUACAAUAACAAGCAGGAAGGUCACAAAAAUGUGAAAGUGCGUCUUGAUCGUGCGGUGGCUUGUCCUCAGUGGUCCUCCAUGUUCCCUAAUUGCACGGUCUCACAUAUUAUCAGCUCAAGGUCAGAUCAUUGUCCUCUUCUUAUAUAG
Molecule: ribosomal RNA, 648 nt
Filed under: Triticum aestivum (bread wheat)
Lineage: Eukaryota; Viridiplantae; Streptophyta; Magnoliopsida; Poales; Poaceae
Description: partial small subunit ribosomal RNA
Source: RNAcentral